GACGUAGGGCGCGAGCGUUGUCCGGAUUUAUUGGGCGUAAAGAGCUCGUAGGCGGCUUGUCGCGUCGAAUGUGAAAACCCGGGGCUCAACCCCGGGCCUGCAUUCGAUACGGGCAGACUAGAGUUCGGUAGGGGAGUCUGGAAUUCCUGGUGUAGCGGUGAAAUGCGCAGAUAUCAGGAGGAACACCGGUGGCGAAGGCGGGACUCUGGGCCGAUACUGACGCUGAGGAGCGAAAGCGUGGGGAGCAAACAGG
This 253-nucleotide ribosomal RNA is filed under the name uncultured bacterium. Its description in RNAcentral is "partial 16S ribosomal RNA". It matches the Rfam family "Bacterial small subunit ribosomal RNA", at positions 524 to 776 of the family's 1533-position model. The record is from RNAcentral.